UACGUAGGGGGCAAGCGUUGUCCGGAUUUAUUGGGCGUAAAGAGUGUGUAGGCGGCCAGGUAGGUCUGCUGUGAAAACUCGAGGCUUAACCUCGAGAUGUCGGCGGAAACCAUCUGGCUAGAGUCCGGAAGAGGAGAAUGGAAUUCCCGGUGUAGCGGUGAAAUGCGCAGAUAUCGGGAAGAACACCCGUGGCGAAGGCGGUUCUCUGGGACGGUACUGACGCUGAGACGCGAAAGCGUGGGGAGCGAACAGG
This 253-nucleotide ribosomal RNA is filed under the name uncultured bacterium. Its description in RNAcentral is "partial 16S ribosomal RNA". It matches the Rfam family "Bacterial small subunit ribosomal RNA", at positions 524 to 776 of the family's 1533-position model. The record is from RNAcentral.